CGAUUUAUCUUAGCACAUCUAAUUCAAAUGUCCUAUGCUAGUCCAAAGGAAUUUCAGAGGACAUUCUAAUUGAACGUUUCCAAUGCCAGUCCAAUGGAUUAUCAUUGGACAUUCGAUUGUGAUAUGUCUAACAGUAGUUUAAUGUUUAAUCCUACGAUUUAUGUUAGGACACCAUAAUCAAACGUCCAAUGCUACUCCAAGGUAAUUUCAUAGGACAUUCUAAUUGAACGUUUCCAAUGCCAGUCCAAUGGAUUAUCAUUGGACAUUCGAUUGUGAUAUGUCUAACAGUAGUUUAAUGUUUAAUCCUACGAUUUAUGUUAGGACACCAUAAUCAGACGUCCAAUGCUACUCCAAGGUAAUUUCAUAGGACAUUCUAAUUGGACGUAUCUAAUGCCAGUCCAAUAGAUUACCAUUGGACAUUCGAUUGAGAUAUAUUCAACCAUAGUCUAAUGUUUAAUCCUACAGUUUACCUCAGGACACUUUAAUCAGACAUCCAAUGCUAGUCGAAGGAAAAUUUAUAGGACAUUCUAAUUGGACAUAUCCAAUGCCAGUCCAUUGGUUUAUUAUUGGACAUUUGUUUGAGAUAUGUCCAACGAUGGUCGAACGUUUAAUCUUACGAUUUAUCUUAGCACAUCUAAUUCAAAUGUCCUAUGCUAGUCCAAAGGAAUUUCAGAGGAAAGUCUACGUUAAACGUAUCCAAUGCCAGUCCAUUAGUUCAUCAUUGAACAUUCGAUUGGGAUAUAUCCCACGAUUGUAUAAUAUCUUGUACUACGAUAUCUCUUAAGACGUCUAAUUCAGACGUCCAAAGCUAAUCCAAAGGAAUAUCAUAGGACGUUAAAAUUUCAUAUAUCUAAUGCCAGUCCAACUAUUUUCAUUGGACUUUCGACAUAUGCUUCCAUCGAUAUGUCUUACGUUUGUUCAAAUGUCUUUGUUCUGUGAAGAGUGCGUGUGUAGCAGCGUUGGAAAAUGGAAAAAUGGGAAAAAUAUCCGGAAAAAUAGCAAAGUAAGUACAUUAUACACUAAUUAGGAUAUAGUUAAACGAUGUGUAUAAGAAAUUAAGUUGCAAUUUAUAUAAUUGUACGCGAAAAUAGAAAUUUUCUUUUUUACAGGUUACGUGUUUCGACAAGUCCAGGUGAGAGAUUUUUUUCGAAUAAAAGCAGGUAAAAAGAGAAGUAUUUUAAUUAAAGAGCGCUCUUCUGUAAAUAGUAGUAGUAGUAGUAGUAAUAGCAGUAGUAUGUAGUAGAAGUAGUCGGGGUAGUAGUAGUAAAUAUUAUGUAUGUAAUAUUUGACAAAUUUUUCUAUUAUUCCAUUAUUAUUCAUUGAUUUGUCUUUUCAUGCUACAUGUUCCCGGACAACUUCUAUUCUCCGGACUCUCCCAGGCUCCCCAAAAAGAGUGUCCAUGGACAACCCAAUGGAUUGUCAAUGGAUUCGUCCCAUGUGUCCCAUGGACUUUUCUUGUUUUUUUCUUAUAUUCUGUAAUAUUCUUACAGCUACAUGUUCCCGGCGUUCCCGGACAACUAUCUUACGGAUACUCCCACGUUACAAAAGCUCGCCAAAGAGAACUAUCAGCAUUUAUGACGAAGGGAAUGGAGAAAAGAAAAGACCGUGCCUUGGAAAACAGAAGUAGGAGAGCAUCCCGUGUCUUGGAAAACAGAAAUUGCAGAGCAUCCCGUGUCUUGGAAUACAGGAGUUGCAGAACAUCUCAAAGACCCAGGACGUCAGAGUUCAACCGCCGAAGGACAAAGUAUCAUACAUGUAAGAUUUAUAUAUAUAAUUUUUAAAUAAAAAAAUAAAAAAUUAA
Long non-coding RNA from Lutzomyia longipalpis, 1801 nucleotides. RefSeq lists it as uncharacterized. The transcript is spliced from 2 exons. The record is from RefSeq and is a predicted model, not a curated record. NCBI's taxonomy places the organism in Eukaryota, Metazoa, Arthropoda, Insecta, Diptera, Psychodidae.